UACCCAGUAUUAUGUGUCAUGUGAUCUCUUGACUGCUGCUUCCAUGAGCAUUGAUUGUAUAUACACACAUGCACACCACACACUAUAUGAGGGAGCUUCA
This 100-nucleotide microRNA precursor is filed under the name Echinops telfairi (small Madagascar hedgehog). RNAcentral describes it as "miRNA (ENSETEG00000023843.1)". The record is from RNAcentral. Lineage: Eukaryota; Metazoa; Chordata; Mammalia; Afrosoricida; Tenrecidae.